AUUUUUAAUUUAAAGUAAAUAGUUUCAAAAUAUAUAUAAGAAACCUCUUUCUUUUAAGUGGUUUCUUUCUUCCUUCUAUUUUUUCUGAAUUAAAAAUUAAAAAAUUAAAAGGCAAAUGGAAAGAUCUGCACUCGGUUUCUAUAAUUCCUCCCUUUUAUUUUUUUCUAAAUUAAAAACAAAUGAAAAGCAAAUUGAAGGACUUGCACUCCUGCUGCAGUUUGCCCAGAUCGCGAAUUGCUCCCUCAAAGAAAAAGAUCCUCACUUUAAUUACCUCCUUCCAUCUUCUUCGUACUCUCGUUGUUCUUCUCACUCACCGCUUCCUCUGCCGCUUCUCUACACUAAAUGCACCACCUCCUACGCCGCCUCCAUCAACCAUCGUACCUCUGCAAUUCGGCUAUUAAGACAAAGCCUACGGAUGCUACAGUAUUGUGUUCUCCAAUAGGAGCCUCUGCUGGGCGCGCUUAAAAGAUGGCAAUCUCGCACUCACGGAUACAGAUUACUGCAUUAAACUGAGACCAGAUUUGGCCAAGGGAUAUUACUAGUUCGGAGUAGCUUGAAUGAUGCUACAGGUGUAUAUGUUUUUGUUUACCAUUGAUUUAAUUCCCUUCUAGAUGGUAUCUGUUUUCUCAUAUUUCUAGCUACAUAAUUGUGAACUACCAUAAUUAACUGUCAGGUUCAUGAUGAUAAAACUUGUGACUCGAAACUGGAACUCUGGAAGAAUUGUCAGAUUCAUGUUGAUUAAACUGUUUUUUUUUAACAAACUCAUUGUUCACUUUGCUCAUCUAUUUCCUCUUGAUACUUAUUGAACAUCAACAUUCACGAGCAUUAUGAAAAUUCAGAGAGUCAUAGAUGAAGAGGGGACUGAAUUACCUUGAUUAUUACUGUUUCUUUUACAGCCAAUAUUGGUUGAUGGAUGACAAUUUGCUCAAGUGAAGGUGUAUGUCUUUGUGACAAGAGUGGUGUUGGAUGAAGAUUAAGUUUAUGUUUUUGAACGCUCUAGAGUCGUGUUCAAAGUACUAUAGUGGAGUACCUGUUACUUAUUCUUUAGUGAAGAUUGACAAGUUACCUAUAUGUCCGAGCAUAAAGAACUAGAUGAAGAGUCCAAAGAUGGUAUGGAUUAUGAAGAUGAUGAUAUGGCGUAGGUGAUUUAUGACUUUAUUCUAAUUUUAGAAUUUUGUAUUUCUUUACGGAGAAGAUUAUAGGACCUUAAGACACUUAAAUUUUUUGUAAUAUAUUUUUGGGAUUAAUGAAAGUUUUUUUAUUAUUUUUAGAUUAA
This is a long non-coding RNA of Spinacia oleracea (spinach), 1276 nucleotides long. RefSeq lists it as uncharacterized. The transcript is spliced from 3 exons. The record is from RefSeq and is a predicted model, not a curated record. NCBI's taxonomy places the organism in Eukaryota, Viridiplantae, Streptophyta, Magnoliopsida, Caryophyllales, Amaranthaceae.